UUUUACCAGACCCGGGAAGGGCGCGGGGCCUUAGUGGCGGACGGGUGAGUAACGCGUGGGGAACCUGCCCCGUACCGGGGGAUAACACCUGGAAACAGGUGCUAAUACCGCAUAACAGAAGGGGACGCAUGUUUCUUUCUUGAAAACUCCGGUGGUACGGGAUGGACCCGCGUCUGAUUAGCUGGUUGGCGGGGUAACGGCCCACCAAGGCGACGAUCAGUAGCCGGCCUGAGAGGUUGGCCGGCCACAUUGGGACUGAGAUACGGCCCAGACUCCUACGGAAGGCAGCAG
RNAcentral lists this ribosomal RNA (291 nucleotides) under uncultured bacterium. RNAcentral's name for it is "partial 16S ribosomal RNA". It matches the Rfam family "Bacterial small subunit ribosomal RNA", at positions 62 to 354 of the family's 1533-position model. The record is from RNAcentral.